GCAAUGCUGAGCAGAGUGUUUAUAAAGAGGGUGGAGGUUAAGUUGUUACCCUAGAGAUGCAGAACCUUUCUCUCUCUUGCUUUUGUCUGUGUGCAUACUGUGUCUGUCUAAGUCACAACAUUAACCAGGGAUAGUUCUGAGCUGAGGUCAUGUUAUUGUCUGUCGAGCAUUUCUUCUCAGAAGUGACCUCUCUUUCAGCUUUAAUUCUCUGCAAUUCUGUUUCAUUGUUUCAAGACCACAGGAUACAAACCAGGGAGUAUUCUGGAACAUUAAACUAACAGGUGUCUUGUAUGGCUGUUGGGGCAUCUUUAUUGGCUAGGCCUCCUAGUAACUGCCAGGGGAGGGUCCCAGCACCUCUGCAUUGUGUUUCAGGACCUCCUGGACCCAGCCCGGUGGCGAAUGCUGAUCCAGCAGUUUCGAUAUGACAACUACCGGCUGCACCAGCUGGGAAACAGCUCCGUCUUCACCCUCACCCUGCAGGCUGGGCUCUCAGCAAUAAAGACACCGUAUCCUCCUUGCUCUACCUUAUCCUCUAGGGUAAAGGUUGAGAGGGCCUGGGACCCAGCAGCUUGGUCUUUCUUUGGUCUGUGUGUCCUCUGU
This 600-nucleotide long non-coding RNA is filed under the name Rattus norvegicus (Norway rat). Its description in RNAcentral is "long non-coding RNA NONRATT010063". Lineage: Eukaryota; Metazoa; Chordata; Mammalia; Rodentia; Muridae. The record is from RNAcentral.